GAUGAACGCUAGCGGGAGGCUUAAUACAUGCAAGUCGAACGGUAAGGUCUACUUCGGUAGAUACACGAGUGGCGCACGGGUGAGUAACGCGUACGGAUCUGCCCUAUACUAAGGGAUAGCCCUGGGAAACUGGGAUUAAUACCUUAUAGUAACGAGAGUUUAAAGCUACGGCGGUAUAGGAUGAUCGUGCGUUCCAUUAGCUAGUUGGUAAGGUAACGGCUUACCAAGGCGAUGAUGGAUAGGGGGCGUGAGAGCGUGAUCCCCCACACGGGUACUGAGACACGGACCCGACUCCUACGGGAGGCAGCAGUAAGGAAUAUUGGUCAAUGGACGCAAGUCUGAACCAGCCAUCCCGCGUGCAGGAAGAAUGCCCUAUGGGUUGUAAACUGCUUUUAUAUAGGAAGAAAAGCAUUAAUUUAUUAGUGUUUGACGGUACUAUAGGAAUAAGCACCGGCUAACUCCG
Molecule: ribosomal RNA, 463 nt
Filed under: uncultured Saprospiraceae bacterium
Lineage: Bacteria; Pseudomonadati; Bacteroidota; Saprospiria; Saprospirales; Saprospiraceae
Description: bacterial SSU rRNA
Rfam family: Bacterial small subunit ribosomal RNA
Source: RNAcentral